This 739-nucleotide ribosomal RNA is filed under the name Sarocladium spinificis. RNAcentral's name for it is "partial large subunit ribosomal RNA". It matches the Rfam family "Eukaryotic large subunit ribosomal RNA", at positions 76 to 844 of the family's 3401-position model. The record is from RNAcentral. Lineage: Eukaryota; Fungi; Ascomycota; Sordariomycetes; Hypocreales; Sarocladiaceae.
UGCCUCAGUAACGGCGAGUGAAGCGGCAACAGCUCAAAUUUGAAAUCUGGCCGCAAGGUCCGAGUUGUAAUUUGCAGAGGAUGCUUUUGGCGAGGUGCCUUCCGAGUUCCCUGGAACGGGACGCCAUAGAGGGUGAGAGCCCCGUACGGUAGGACCACCGAGCCUUUGUAAAGCUCCUUCGACGAGUCGAGUAGUUUGGGAAUGCUGCUCUAAAUGGGAGGUGUACGUCUUCUAAAGCUAAAUACCGGCCAGAGACCGAUAGCGCACAAGUAGAGUGAUCGAAAGAUGAAAAGCACUUUGAAAAGAGGGUUAAAAAGUACGUGAAAUUGUUGAAAGGGAAGCAUUCAUGACCAGACUUGGGCUUGGUUGAACAUCCGGCGUUCUCGCCGGUGCACUCUGCCAGUCCAGGCCAGCAUCAGUUUGCCCCGGGGGACAAAGGCGGUGGGAAUGUGGCUCUCUCCGGGGAGUGUUAUAGCCCGCCGUGUAAUGCCCUGGGGCGGACUGAGGAACGCGCUUCGGCUCGGAUGCUGGCGUAAUGGUCAUCAAUGACCCGUCUUGAAACACGGACCAAGGAGUCGUCUUCGUAUGCGAGUGUUCGGGUGUCAAACCCCUACGCGAAAUGAAAGUGAACGUAGGUGAGAGCUUCGGCGCAUCACCGACCGAUCCUGAUGUUCUCGGACGGAUUUGAGUAAGAGCAUACGGGGCCGGACCCGAAAGAAGGUGAACUAUGCCUGUAUAG